Long non-coding RNA from Phyllostomus discolor (pale spear-nosed bat), 3033 nucleotides. RefSeq lists it as uncharacterized. Lineage: Eukaryota; Metazoa; Chordata; Mammalia; Chiroptera; Phyllostomidae. The record is from RefSeq and is a predicted model, not a curated record. The transcript is spliced from 3 exons.
CCUCCAGCAGUCGCCCCAUCUAUCUCCUUUCCCCACCACCCUGGCUACAUGAUCUUUUCCGAAAUGUUAACGGUUGUCUUCCCUUGGUCGUUUUCUACAUUACCUUUAGUCUGGUAUUUUUAUUGGAAUGUGUUUUAAAACACAGUGUACUAAUAGAAAAACAUGAGGUUCAGUAAAGCCAACAAACAGAUCUGGAGACAAUUGCCAUUGAAAAGAUGGUUCUUACAGUUCCUGAGAGGAGAGUACACCCACGGAGGGCCAGGGGAGCGAACACCGUUGGCGUCAGGCAGAGAGAAAGUGGGCUGAGGCCCUGUUGUGGUUAGCGUGGGAAGAGACAGGAGAGGAAAGGUAAACAAGUUUAGGAUUGGCUAGUUUGAAUAAUUCCCCUGGGCUCGGUUGUAGGGGCUGCCCCUGGUUGUAUGGUGCGUGGCCUCGGAGUGAUUAGGGCUUAGGGUGGGGUGACAGUGGCCUGGAAUGUCCGGAGUGGGCGGUUGGGAUUCUGGGCUGGUUAGUUUGCAUAUAAAAGGAGAGUUGUUUGCUGUCUCUAAGAUUAGCUAACACGAGAGGGGCGGGGCUUCCAGAGUCUGCACUGUGUCCUAUCAGAGCAUUGGCAUUACGGAAAACAAAAAGACACCCUUAUACACAAUGGCUUUAAAUGGAUAGUUAUUAAAUAUUAAAUGAAUAUUUGGAAAGUUGGAUCUUAAAAUACUGAUUGCUUUUAUUCAAGUACAAGGUAUCUGAAUUUUUUAAAGUGAUUUUUCUGUGCCUCGGUGGAGUUUCUGUAAUAUUGGCUCAAUGAAAUUUUUGUUAAAUAUGUUUUAAAUGCUAAUCUGUUCUGUUGCUAAUGGAAGUAAAUUAUUCUACUAUUUUACAUGUAGGUAUUAUUUGCAUAUUUUAUAUAUUAAUUCCAUACCUUAAUGAAUUAUUCAAACCAAUUCUUUCUCCUACCUAGAGGCAUUGGCCAGGACUUCCAGAACAAUGCUAAAUGGGACUUGUGAGUACAGGGUGCGUGCCAUUUGCUUCUAGAUGCUUUACCAUCGGCAUCUCAUUUAUCUGUGUCCUUCCUUCUGGGGAGCAAGAGAUGAGGAGAAAAUCUGACAAGAAGUUUCGGAGGCUGCAGGGUGUGACCGUCUUCCCAAAGGGCACAAUAAGAUGGUAGAAGGCUGCCUACCAUUUCCGAGUGGCACUUGUGCCAAGAAAAGGUGACUUCUUGGUGAAUGAAUUAUGGCUAGUUGCUGUGCUAGUUAAUUAUUUGUUGCCUAGACUGUCUUUCUUCUUGGUACUGAGGCCAAUGAUGAAGGCAAACAUAUUGAGAAAUCUGUUCCUCUGCGGACCCUGAAAAUAGAGAUUCACUUGAUAUGAGUCCCAAGAAGCAAUUUAUCCUCUGAGACAGACUCCCCAUUGUCAACCCAGGGCCAAAUUUUAUAAACAAUAAGGAUCCAGCAGCUAUUUGCUGACAGGGGUUCCUUGGGUAUUGUGUAUACCAGGAAGAACCUCAGUCUCAAGUCUUGGCUUCCCACAAAUGCCCAUCUGAGUCAACCACUGCAGGGAAGCCCUAGUUUUGUCUUUUGACCAAUGUACUGGGACCUGCCGUGUCCAAUCAGAACGAUACAAUUAUAUUCUCAUUUGCAUCUUUACCAACCAAUCAGAACUGCUCUAUAACGACCACUCAAAACUGCAUGAUUCAGACCAAUCAGAACUGUUAGAAUUUGGAACCGUCAUUUGCAUAGAGGUGGGCCAAUCAGGAAUGUGUUGGGGGGUGGCAUCGGGAACUUUCCCUAUGAAUGGCAAUCUCCCCUUUGUCUCAGUGCAAUGCAUUUUCGGUUUCCACAGGAGGCUGGCUGCCUUUGGGACUGUUUCACCUGAAUGAAGUCUCUCCUUUUCUGUACCUCUUUGGAAAUGUUGGUUUACACACCGUAGUCUUCAUCUUCAAAAUCGCAGACCAAGCUCCCCUAGGUUAGCCUCACCCAUCUACUUCCUGAGGACACAUCCAGUUACCUUCGGUAACUGUAUAUAAGGAAACAGGCGGCUCAAGGUCAGCCCAGUGCCAAAGUCUUCCCUGAAAGAGUGAGAAUGGCCAAGCUCCCUUCCCUGGAGAUGGAACUGCAGGCUUAAUGUUUGGGUGAGUCUGAUUAGUCUCAUCAGACUUAUUAGUUCUCCGGGUUCUCUGGCCAUCUCUGCUUUGCAUCUGGGGCUCCGUCAGUUCCAGCUCUGAUUUAACUUGAGCUGCCAGGGCACAGGGAGCUGUGAGGAGGGGCUUUCCCAGGGCUUCUCAGCUGCCCAGUCUUGUCUCCUUCCUGCUGCCGCAGCUGCCAGCAGAGGGUGGCCAGGACUUCAGAGUAACAGAAUCAUGGCUAAUUCUGGACCAGAAAGACCAGGCUCAGAGUGCCGCUCUCUGCCAAGACCAGCCCAGCACCGUCUGCCCACUCCUCUCAAUGUGUCGGCAGGGGCUGUUUGGACCUCAGACAUGCAGGAAAGACGUCUGUCUUCUUCUUUUCCUUCUUCUUAAUUCCUAAGGUUGCCAAGAAUUUGAUUUUAUUUUUAAAAAGACUUUUAUUUUUAAAUGACAAAUUAAGUAAUGCUCAUUGUAGGAAUUUCCAAUAAUGCAAAUGUGUAUAGGGUUGCAAAGAAAAGCUUCCGCCUCUCAUUGCUUGUAUUUCCCUUCCCAGAGGUGUGCUCUCUGUCAUUCUAGAUCCUCCUCUGUGCACGCAUGAAUCAUGGAGAAACAGAUCUGCCUGUUUGUUUAUGUGUUUGAUUAGAUGACUGCAAAUUUGCAAUUUCACUCAACAGUAUUUCAUGGAUGACCUUCCAUGUCAGUGCAAGAAUGUGAAGGAUCUUUUCCUUAUUUUUUUUAAAGUCAAGUUUAUUUAGGAAAAACUUACAUAAAAUAAAACUCACCCUUGUUAAGAGCAUAGUUUGGUGAGUUUUGACUUAGUAGACAACCACUCCAAUCAAGAUAAAGAAUAGCCCUGACCAGCAUGGCUCAGUGGGUUGGGCGUUGUUCUGCAAAGGGGAAGGUUGCUGGUUUGAUUC